Molecule: ribosomal RNA, 372 nt
Filed under: uncultured organism
Description: bacterial SSU rRNA
Rfam family: Bacterial small subunit ribosomal RNA
Source: RNAcentral
CGUAGGGUGCGAGCGUUAAUCGGAAUUAUUGGGCGUAAAGGGCGCGUAGGCGGCCUGGCAAGUGGAAGGUGAAAUCCCUCGGCUUAACCGAGGAACUGCCUCCCAAACUGCUUGGCUUGAGACCGGGAGAGGUGAGUGGAAUUCCCAGUGUAGCGGUGAAAUGCGUAGAUAUUGGGAGGAACACCAGUGGCGAAGGCGGCUCACCGGACCGGUACUGACGCUGAUGCGCGAAAGCGUGGGGAGCAAACGGGAUUAGAUACCCCGGUAGUCCACGCCGUAAACGAUGAAUGCUUGGUGUAGCGGGUAUCGACCCCUGCUGUGCCGAAGUCGACACAUUAAGCAUUCCGCCUGGGGAGUACGGUCGCAAGGCUG